This 253-nucleotide ribosomal RNA is filed under the name uncultured bacterium. RNAcentral describes it as "partial 16S ribosomal RNA". It matches the Rfam family "Bacterial small subunit ribosomal RNA", at positions 524 to 776 of the family's 1533-position model. RNAcentral also lists the same sequence under 1 other name. The record is from RNAcentral.
UACGGAGGGUGCAAGCGUUAUCCGGAUUUACUGGGUUUAAAGGGUGCGUAGGUGGGUUGGUAAGUCAGUGGUGAAAUCUCCGAGCUUAACUCGGAAACUGCCAUUGAUACUAUCAAUCUUGAAUAUCCUGGAGGUGAGCGGAAUAUGUCAUGUAGCGGUGAAAUGCUUAGAUAUGACAUAGAACACCAAUUGCGAAGGCAGCUCACUACGGGGUCAUUGACACUGAGGCACGAAAGCGUGGGGAUCAAACAGG